UACGUAGGGGGCAAGCGUUGUUCGGAUUUACUGGGCGUAAAGGGCGCGUAGGCGGCCACCGAAAGUCGACUGUGAAAUCUCCGGGCUUAACCCGGAAAGGUCAGCCGAUACUGCGGGGCUAGAGUGCAGAAGGGGCAACUGGAAUUCUCGGUGUAGCGGUGAAAUGCGUAGAUAUCGAGAGGAACACCUGCGGCGAAGGCGGGUUGCUGGGCUGACACUGACGCUGAAGCGCGAAAGCUAGGGGAGCGAACGGG
Molecule: ribosomal RNA, 254 nt
Filed under: uncultured bacterium
Lineage: Bacteria
Description: partial 16S ribosomal RNA
Rfam family: Bacterial small subunit ribosomal RNA
Source: RNAcentral